AUUUGAUGGUGUGGGCAGCUUGCACAUAGUUUCUUGAAACGCUCCCAAUAUUCAUACAAUGACUCUCCAUUGUGUUGCCUUAUACCACAAAUUUCCUUUCUAAUGUU
Molecule: small nucleolar RNA, 107 nt
Organism: Ipomoea nil (Japanese morning glory)
Lineage: Eukaryota; Viridiplantae; Streptophyta; Magnoliopsida; Solanales; Convolvulaceae
Rfam family: Plant small nucleolar RNA R71
About the family: R71 is a member of the C/D box family of snoRNAs containing the C (UGAUGA) and D (CUGA) box motifs.
Source: Rfam